CCAGAGAACUUUCCAGAGAUGGAUUGGUGCCUUCGGGAACUCUGAGACAGGUGCUGCAUGGCUGUCGUCAGCUCGUGUUGUGAAAUGUUGGGUUAAGUCCCGCAACGAGCGCAACCCUUAUCCUUUGUUGCCAGCGGUUAGCCGGGAACUCAAAGGAGACUGCCAGUGAUAAACUGGAGGAAGGUGGGGAUGACGUCAAGUCAUCAUGGCCCUUACGAGUAGGGCUACACACGUGCUACAAUGGCGCAUACAAAGAGAAGCGACCUCGCGAGAGCAAGCGGACCUCAUAAAGUGCGUCGUAGUCCGGAUUGGAGUCUGCAACUCGACUCCAUGAAGUCGGAAUCGCUAGUAAUCGUAGAUCAGAAUGCUACGGUGAAUACGUUCCCGGGCCUUGUACACACCGCCCGUCACACCAUGGGAGUGGGUUGCAAAAGAAGUAGGUAGCUUAACCUUCGGGAGGGCGCUUACCACUUUGUGAUUCAUGACUGGGGUGAAGUCGUAACAAGGUAGGCGUAGUGCU
RNAcentral lists this ribosomal RNA (520 nucleotides) under uncultured bacterium. RNAcentral describes it as "bacterial SSU rRNA". It matches the Rfam family "Bacterial small subunit ribosomal RNA", at positions 988 to 1509 of the family's 1533-position model. The record is from RNAcentral.